This 78-nucleotide transfer RNA is filed under the name Candidatus Cloacimonadota bacterium. RNAcentral's name for it is "tRNA-Pro". It matches the Rfam family "tRNA". Rfam says of the family: Transfer RNA (tRNA) molecules are approximately 80 nucleotides in length. Their secondary structure includes four short double-helical elements and three loops (D, anti-codon, and T loops). Lineage: Bacteria; Pseudomonadati; Candidatus Cloacimonadota. The record is from RNAcentral.
CGGGAUGUAGCGCAGCCCGGCUAGCGUACCUGAAUGGGGUUCAGGUGGUCGCAGGUUCAAAUCCUGUCAUCCCGACCA